Molecule: non-coding RNA, 22 nt
Filed under: Arabidopsis thaliana (thale cress)
Lineage: Eukaryota; Viridiplantae; Streptophyta; Magnoliopsida; Brassicales; Brassicaceae
Source: RNAcentral
AGCCGCUGGUACUCUCUAUCCG